UAUUGGUCAAUAGCCUAACGGCUGAACCAGCAACUUGGAGGAAUGUAUAGGGAAAACUGGUAAAAUGUGAUGUACCUAGUAAUAUUAGUAAUGAAUAUGAGAUUAACUAAGUUAAUUAAAAUUCAAAGUAUAUAUUUGAUAAUGACAUUAUAUACUUAGGUCUUGACCAAGUCACGUGCCAGCAGUCGCGGUAAUACGUGGUAGACCAGUGUUAUUCAUCUUUAAAAGGUAUAUAGGGUACCUAGACGGUUAAUUAAGCUAAUGAGUACUAAUUAACUAGAGUUUGAUGUAAGAAGGAUUGAGAACGGUGAGUGGAGAGAUGAAAUUCAGUGAUACCACUUAGGAACUGGUAGAGGCGAAGGCAACCUUCUAUGUAAAAACUGACGUUGAGGGACGAAGGCUCAUGUUAAAGAAUAGGAUUAGAUACCCUAGUAUUUUGAGCAGAAAAUGAUGAGUGUCAUAUGCAAGAGAUUAAUAAAAAAUAUAAAAAAAAUUUUUGUGUAUAAAUGAAAGUGUAAGCACUCCACCUCAAGAGUAACAUGGCAACAUGGGAACUGAAAUCAUUAGACCGUUUCUGAAACUCGUAGUGAAGUAUGUUGUUUAAUUCGAUAAUCCGCGAAUAACCUUACCACAGCUUGAAUAACUGCCGCAUAAUGUAGCUACAAGUGUUGCACGGCUGUCUCCAGUCAAUGUUGUGAAACUUUGGUUAGCUCCAUAAAAUUGACGUAAACCCUGGCUUUAUUUAUUAUAGAGCAGUUCGCCGCUAUAUUGGUAGUGAUAUAUGGGACCAGGACAAGUCAUCAU
This 804-nucleotide ribosomal RNA is filed under the name Corticorygma stellatum. RNAcentral's name for it is "SSU rRNA". It matches the Rfam family "Bacterial small subunit ribosomal RNA", at positions 362 to 1196 of the family's 1533-position model. Lineage: Eukaryota; Fungi; Ascomycota; Lecanoromycetes; Ostropales; Graphidaceae. The record is from RNAcentral.